AGCAGUAGCCGCGGGAAUACGUAGGUGGCAAGCGUUGUCCGGAAUUAUUGGGCGUAAAGGGCUCGCAGGCGGUUUCUUAAGUCUGAUGUGAAAGCCCCCGGCUCAACCGGGGAGGGUCAUUGGAAACUGGGAAACUUGAGUGCAGAAGAGGAGAGUGGAAUUCCACGUGUAGCGGUGAAAUGCGUAGAGAUGUGGAGGAACACCAGUGGCGAAGGCGACUCUCUGGUCUGUAACUGACGCUGAGGAGCGAAAGCGUGGGGAGCGAACAGGAUUAGAUACCCCAGUAGUCCCUGUCUCUUAUAA
RNAcentral lists this ribosomal RNA (303 nucleotides) under uncultured bacterium. RNAcentral describes it as "partial 16S ribosomal RNA". It matches the Rfam family "Bacterial small subunit ribosomal RNA", at positions 507 to 809 of the family's 1533-position model. The record is from RNAcentral.